RNAcentral lists this ribosomal RNA (496 nucleotides) under uncultured Glomeromycotina. Its description in RNAcentral is "partial small subunit ribosomal RNA". It matches the Rfam family "Eukaryotic small subunit ribosomal RNA", at positions 591 to 1092 of the family's 1831-position model. Lineage: Eukaryota; Fungi; Glomeromycota. The record is from RNAcentral.
CCAAUAGCGUAUAUUAAAGUUGUUGCAGUUAAAAAGCUCGUAGUUGAAUUUCGGGGUUCUACCGUUGGUCGGGCAAUUGUCUGUACUGGCGUGUGGAAUUUCUACCUUCUGGGGAACCAUCAUGUUAUUAAUUUAGCGUGGUGGGAAACCAGGACCUUUACCUUGAAAAAAUUAGAGGGUUCAAAGCAGGCUUACGUCUGAAUACAUUAGCAUGGAAUAAUAAAAUAGGACGGUGGUCCUGUUUUGUUGGUUUCUGAAUCACCGUAAUGAUUAAUAGGGAUAGUUGGGGGCAUUAGUAUUCAAUUGUCAGAGGUGAAAUUCUUGGAUUUAUUGAAGACUAACUUCUGCGAAAGCAUUUGCCAAGGAUGUUUUCAUUGAUCAAGAACGAAAGUUAGGGGACCGAAGACGAUCAGAUACCGUCGUAGUCUUAACCAUAAACUAUGCCGACUAGGGAUCGGACGAUGUUAAUUUUUCUUGACUCGUUCGGCGCCUUACG